RNAcentral lists this long non-coding RNA (349 nucleotides) under Mytilus galloprovincialis (Mediterranean mussel). Lineage: Eukaryota; Metazoa; Mollusca; Bivalvia; Mytilida; Mytilidae. The record is from RNAcentral.
AUUUAGGUCAAUACCCAAUUUUUCACUGUAGAAAAUGAUAUUAGAGAGCCAUGAAUUAUUGGAGCUAGUUUGAGCUUUACUCUCAAUCAUUUUUAACUCAGCAUAGGCACUUUUUAAUAAAUCAGAUGGAGAAUUCUCUAGUUUAUACCAAUACAUAAACAUAUGUGUUAGCAAAUUUAUAUAAAGAGGAUAUCUACCCAAUUCAGACAGGACUGCUACAUUUGUGCACUUCUUUGUAACACCAAUAAUAUACUUACAAAAUUUUAAAUUUAGCUUCUCAAACUCCCAAUCUUUAAAUAUGUCAUAAAGGGAUAAAUUUUUCCUUUUAGGAGUAAUGUUAAUAACACCC